Molecule: ribosomal RNA, 253 nt
Filed under: uncultured bacterium
Lineage: Bacteria
Description: partial 16S ribosomal RNA
Rfam family: Bacterial small subunit ribosomal RNA
Source: RNAcentral
UACGUAGGGACCAAGCGUUGUUCGGAUUUACUGGGCGUAAAGGGCGCGUAGGCGGCGUGACAAGUCACUUGUGAAAUCUCUGGGCUUAACCCAGAACGGCCAAGUGAAACUGUCGUGCUAGAGUGCGGAAGGGGCAAUCGGAAUUCUCGGUGUAGCGGUGAAAUGCGUAGAUAUCAAGAGGAACACCUGAGGUGAAGACGGGUUGCUGGGCCAACACUGACGCUGAUGCGCGAAAGCCAGGGGAGCAAACGGG